UACGAAGGGGGCGAGCGUUGUUCGGAUUUACUGGGCGUAAAGGGCGCGUAGGCGGCCUUGUCAGUCAGGCGUGAAAGCCCCGGGCUCAACCUGGGAACGGCGCUUGGGACAGCGAGGCUGGAGUUCGGGAGAGGAGAGUGGAAUUCCCAGUGUAGAGGUGAAAUUCGUAGAUAUUGGGAAGAACACCGGUGGCGAAGGCGGCUCUCUGGACCGACACUGACGCUGAGGCGCGAAAGCGUGGGGAGCAAACAGG
Molecule: ribosomal RNA, 253 nt
Filed under: uncultured bacterium
Lineage: Bacteria
Description: partial 16S ribosomal RNA
Rfam family: Bacterial small subunit ribosomal RNA
Source: RNAcentral